Regulatory RNA element from Cavia porcellus (domestic guinea pig), 250 nucleotides. It matches the Rfam family "Mason-Pfizer monkey virus packaging signal". Rfam says of the family: The packaging signal is located in the 5' UTR and is required for specific RNA encapsidation. The record is from Rfam. Lineage: Eukaryota; Metazoa; Chordata; Mammalia; Rodentia; Caviidae.
UGGUGCCUCAACAUGGGAUUCAAGAAUGGGGACUUAGUGAGGGACACUGUUUGUGGGCCCAGAGUAGAAAAAGGAAAACAAAAUAGAGGACUGACUUGGGAGACUGCCACACCGCUGAACCUUGGUAAGUGAACAGCGAUUAUGCGACAAGAAAUUAGCCAGCAUGAGAUUUUUGUUGAAAGUUUAGAAACGCUUUAAAGAUGCAAAGGGUAAAGGAAAAAAAAUUUAGCAAUUGUGUCCACUAGGACAA